CUAAGAAGAUGGUGUCCGAUCCGAUCAUACUUGCGACAAUAUUUUUGUCCACGUGGCAACAUGCAAACAAUGAUGAACCAAUCUGUCAUCGAUCGAUAGGUUUGCUUAAUGGCGAGGCAAAAGUACUUGCGACGAUCGCGGUUCCUCUGCGAAACGAUCGGAUCUCUUCGGACGACUCCCGGAAGCUCUCCUCCCACGACGAAGCCCCUCAACCCCGAGGAGACUGUGGAGCGGGUUCUCCGACGCCGUUAAUUAGACCCCGAAGUGGGACUCCGCUAGACGGACCGUGAUCUGAGGUGGAAUUAGGCAAAGGAAGCUCUUGGAAUUUGUGGAUGAACUACAUAUCAGUGCUAACCGUGGAAUUGCUUAUUGCUCAUUUGGUGUCGACAGGAAUUUGGUUCCAAGGUAACAAAGACAAAUAAAGUUCAUACGACUGCAGAUCAAUUAAAAGUUAGCAUUUAAGACUUUGAGCAUUUUCAUGUUUCGUGUUUCUAUAUUAUAUCAGGAUUUUAUCUCAUGGUCUUUAGUUUUUGGCAUAAUUCGACAAUCGGGGUGUACUAUCAAAUGCCUUGUUGUUAAGCUUAGCAUGGAUGGAGAGCCAUACCUAAGAAAAGUUAUCUAAAAACUGUUCCAGCAUUAAGGAGCAUUCUUCGGCACCCGAGAAGAUGUUUACCUGAUUUACUAUGGGUGAGCUAUGUCAUUUUCCAAUGCAUUGGAACAACUUUUUCGGUCUUCUCUAUUGCUUGCAAAUAAUUACAUGACUUGGUAGCUUCAAUUCUUUGUUUGCUUUAAAGAAUUUGAGAUCAGUGGUACAUGCUAUAUAACUGGUAUGUGCUCUAGAGUUGUGAAGCCUUAGAAACUGAUCUCUUGGAUUAGAAGGGAGAUAUUAGCAAUUUUAAUUAAAGUGCUAUAGCGGGCGCUUUAUGGUAAGUCAUGAUUACAAGUGCCUAAUACUGUUGCAGAUAUCGUUACUGUGUUCGUUAUUUUAUUAUACCAAAGUUAGUUAAGGUGCUUUUAUUUGUUUCUUUGUUUCUGUUCUAGUGGGUUUUAUGGGAUACUUUAAUGUAUUGAUGUUGAGCUGACUGAAUAGUUUGGGUAUUUUUCUUUUUUUGGAGCCUUGUCGUCAUAUACAACUGCUUAUAUAUGUAGUUUUGCAACAAAGAUGGACAAUCUUUUCAUUAUGUUUCUCUUUACAUUUAAUUCUGUUGAUGGCAAACCUAAAUAAGUUCUCAUUGUUAUCAGAUCCAUAUUGUGUCUACUCAAGUAAUAUUGUAUAUUCUUGAUUUUAGGUGUCUGUUGUCAAAUAUUAAGCUAUUCUGACCCAUGUAUUAUUUUACCAUGUCAUGCCCCCAUUGGCAAUUAGUUCUUGGAAUAGUAUUUUCUAUCAGCAUGUGAUGUGCCAAUGCAUGCACAACGACAUAAGCAUGCAUAGUAAAUGGAAAAAGAAAAUCAUAACAGACAGGAAGAAAAGACAAAGUAACCUUUUAUAGUCUAUUGUACAACAUGCCUUCCAGCACAAUCAGAGAUUCAGAAUGUAAACUUGUGCACUUAUAUAGAUGCACGGGAAUUCAUGGUAUAAUCAUGAGUGCCAAAGUUCUUACCUCACAAGAGUUCCCAGUUGAAUGAUGCAUUACCAUCUAAGCUUCUUGGAUUAUUGUUGUACGACGAGAGCUUUGCUUGUGCCUGUAUUUCUUGCUGUCUGGCCAAUGAAUUUCAGAUGGAACAACAUACAGACUACAGAGAAGGGCGAAGCUAGGGUUGGAUGAUGGAUCUUUAUCAAGGGUCUGAGUAUGUACUUAUGAAGACAAGAGAUGGGUAUUGGAUGCUCAUCAUCAAUAUACCUUCAGAAAUGUUUAGUAAUCGUUGCAGAAGGCUGAGGAUCAUGAAGAUUUCAGAUCUGGAAUUUCGUAUGUUUUAAUAUGACUAGUGAUCCUAUUCACUUCAGCCUUGAUCCUCAGAUGAGUAAUUAACAAGCAUGUCAAUUAUAAUUCCAUCUCUCAGCUUAAGUAUGGUAUUUGUCCUUGGUACUGAUUAGUAGUGGGUCCUUUAUUCUCCUUUGUUGAUGCACGUUGUUAUCAUGAAUUUGUUUUUGAAAAAUAUAUGGUCAGGUAUUGAAAUCCAUCGUCUGAUACACAAACUGCAGAUGAGUUCUCUCCUUUCAUAUACUUGAAGAAAGCAUAGUUUAACUUUUACCAAGAAUUGAGAACAAUCUAUGCUUUUAUAGUAUAUGCAUCACCAGUGAACUAAUUACUUUUCUGAUCUUGGAUAUUGUUGUAUCCUAGCUGCUUGAAUAUUAUAGAUUCAACUCAAAAUUAUCAUAACCCAUCAGCUGGUCAUAGAUACUAUGAAAUAACAUUGAUCUCCAUGUUCUUAUGACCAUGUGCUAUAUAUAUUAAGAACUUUAGAUUCAUUGAAGCUUUUAUUUGCAUCUAUAGACAUAAAUUCAUUGAAGAAUUUUAGAUCUCUAGUCAAAAAACUACAGGGUGAUCUCUUGCAAUUUCUGCUAGUAUGAUCUUAUUUUCAUGCAUGAUUGAUCCCAUUCCCAGCACCAAGGGCCACGAUGAAGUGUCAGAGCUGGCUGGGACUAGCAACAUCUUGGAAGAUCAGCUUGGUGCAUUAUAACCUUAUGACCGCAUGGUACUUCCUGAAAUAAAAAAGUGUUCUUUUGAGAUGGAUUUUAUCUAUAUGACACAUUCUAUUGCAUGUGGACUGAAAUUCUUGCAACAUAGUUCUUGUUCAAUGGCAUGGUGCUAUCAUUGGCCCUUUACCUGUAUCUUUCCGAUAGUAAACAUUUCAAUUGAGUCAGUCUCCAUCCUUUUUCCUUUUCAUAUAAGAAAGCAUCAAUUGCAAGGCAUACCUGACGUGGUACAUCAAUGACAACUACCAGCUAUCUGAAACAUCAAACUGUUGUAGAACAGACCUCAAGUUUGGGGCUGUCUAUUCAUCCAUCAUUAGUCUUCCUCAGAUGAAACAAAAUAGACUGGAUUAAACAUGUGAUAUGAUGUUGUGCUUGUCUUUGAUGUUCAUCUAUCCAGGGUUUCUUGAUGGUUUCCUCGAUAUGAUCUCUGAUAUUUACUGCUACCAUAACAUUUUGUGUGCCUAUCCAUUAUGGUGGCAACUUUUAAUAUCCUGUCCUUGAUCUAAUGUUCAAAUUAUAAUAUUAUAUUUGUCCAUGUGGAGUAAGUACCAUUGUUAAUUAUGAGCUAACAUGCAAUGUUUCCGAAACAGAGAAGUCAUGUCAAUAGCAUUAUACAGUGUGAAAGAUAAUAUACAGCAUGCAUUCAGAAUAUUGCAUUGUUCCCUUCUCCACUAGCGGUCAUCAUCUCAUUAUGUCGUUCUCCAUCAUUUUUAUAUGACUACAGCAUCUCUGUCUUCCUAAAAACUGCAACCAUGCUGAUCAGCAUGAGAUGUAUCGCAUGAGAAAAGCUUCGGUGUUGUGAGACCAGCAAAUGUAGCGAACAAGAUGGACCCAUGUACGUGUUCUUUGGAUUCCUGCUCAGUGCACUCUGAUGAAAGCUUGGGCAAUUACCUGAAAGUGUCAGGCUUUUGCCUUGCUCUCUCCCAGUUCUUCAGUGAGUGUUUACCUUCCACGUCCAGGUUAAUAAAUUAUUGUGGCUGUCACAUCAUGCUGACAUGACCAUGAUGCAGUAUCGUAUGAGUAAUUAUUGGUCCAGCAUUGCAUCAUUAUCAUUGAUUGUCACAUCAACAUGAUGUAUUUAUUUAUCACAUUGUUAUCAUCUGACUGUCACAUCAUUUGUUACUCAGAGAGGGCAGUUUUAUCUUUUGGCAUGUAUGAUCAACUUAAUUAGAUGCUUAAUUACAUUUAA
Musa acuminata subsp. malaccensis (wild Malaysian banana) is the source of this 3827-nucleotide non-coding RNA. Lineage: Eukaryota; Viridiplantae; Streptophyta; Magnoliopsida; Zingiberales; Musaceae. The record is from RefSeq and is a predicted model, not a curated record.